GAAAAUAAGAGAUAACAAGCCAAAAUCAAAAUUUUGAUCAUGACCUUGACCUUUGACCUUGACCUCAUUUUCAAUUUUUUGGACCAAGGACCUCAAAACAAAAGACCCUAGGCCUCUAACACUUAUGGUUUUCCAGUUAAAAAUGCAUAUCACUUAUAUCAAAUAUAAAAGGGGAAAUAACUCUCAUAUGGAGUCUACGGAAAAGCUUCGGUCAAAAUAAAUCAAAUCAUCCUGAGGAUAUAACGAGCAAUUUGGUAAAAUAAAUUUGUCGGUUUCUUAUACGGUUGCGAAUAUUAAGCGAUCACAAGAAAAACAGUGUUCGGGGAGAUAACUCUUACAUUGAAAAGAUUUUGGUUACGCGGUGUCAGUUUCAAAAGUGUAUUAAUUGCUCGAUAUCAUAUACCAUAUAUCAAAGCGACAUCUUGCGAAACAAAAAAAUUGCGAAGGAACAAAAAGUUGGCGGAAGAAAAAAAAUAAUAAUUAAAAACCAAUUGUUCAGAGAACAAUUGAAGGUCUUUCCACCAGUAAAUAUCUAUUUUGAUAUUAAAAUAUUAAUAAUCAGUCUAAAAUGUCAGUUCCUAUGGCUUUAUGAUGUAUAGAUAUGAAUUUUAACCAAAGGUCAUAAUCUAAAACGCCAAAUUUACCUAUGACCUUGACCUCAAUUUCAAGGUCACAAACUGAGGAUCUCAAAUCAAAAGACCCUAGGUCUCUAAUAUGUAUGGUUAAUAAGUAAUAUCACUUGACGCAUAAUUUUAGAUGUGGUAGGGGCUAAAACUCCCAUUUAUUGUCUACGCACCCUUUCAACCAAAAUUAUUAUGUUACGACAUGUCGCAACUAACAAUUUAGUAAAAUAAUUUGUCGAUAUCUGAUAAGGUUAAUGAAAAUGAGUGAAAAUAAGCCAAAAUCAAAAUUUGGAAUAUGACCUUGACCUUUGACCUUGACCUAAUUUUCAUUUUUUUGGACCAAGGAUCUCAAAUCAAACGACCCUAGGUCUCUAUCACUUAUGGUUUUCCAGUUUAAAAUACAUUUCAAAAUUUCAAAUACAAAAGGGGAAAUAACUCUCAUAUGGAAUCUCUAUACGGCUUCGGUCAAAAUGAAACAGCACAUCCUGAAGAUGUAAUGAGCAAUUUGCAAAAAUAAAUUUGUAGGUUUCUUAUACGGUUGUGAAGAUUACGCGAUAACAAGAAAAACAGUGUUCGGGGAGAUAACUCUUAUAUGGGAAAGAUUUUGGUUACACGGUGUCAGUUACAAAAGCGUAAUAACUGUUCGAUAUCAUAUACCAUAUGUCUAAGCGACAUCUUGCGAAACAAAAAAAUUGCGGAGGAACAAAAAGUUGGCGGAAGAAAAAAAAUAAUAAUUAAAAACCAAUUGUUCAGAGAACCAUUGAUGGUCUUUCCACCAGUAAUGAUUUUUUUUAUAUGAAAAUAUUAAAAUUUGGUUUUAAAUGUCAAUUUCAGCGUCAAAUGACAACUUUAAUAUUGUACGCUGAUUCCAAAAAUAUAAGAUUUAUAUACAAAAAGAUAUAAAUAAGGGAGAUAAUUUUCUACUUCCGGUUCAAAAUAUGUUACUUCCGGUACUGUCUUAU
This 1585-nucleotide long non-coding RNA is filed under the name Mytilus galloprovincialis (Mediterranean mussel). Lineage: Eukaryota; Metazoa; Mollusca; Bivalvia; Mytilida; Mytilidae. The record is from RNAcentral.